GAAAAAAAAGCGCACAUCAUCAAUCCAUCUUCUUAUUUCUUUCUGUUUUCUUUUCAGAGGAGAUGAUUUGAGGAGAGAGAAAAGAAGAAGAAGAAGAAGACGAAGAAGAAGAAGAAGAAGAAGAAAUGGAGAAAUGCUUUAGAGAGAGAAAGAAGAGAGAGAAAACAGAUGGCAGGGCGGAGGAGGAAACAAGAAGCAGAGAAAUGAAACUGCCGUCUCUGUCACAGAUUUGCAGGAUAAAACGACGCCGUUUAAUGUUAUGGAAACGCCCCUCAAAAAGUAGGGUUGUCCACGUCAUUCGCCCCAGGAAAAGGAAAAGAAUUAGCCGUUGUAAAAGCAUCC
Long non-coding RNA from Cucurbita maxima (winter squash), 342 nucleotides. RefSeq lists it as uncharacterized. The record is from RefSeq and is a predicted model, not a curated record. The transcript has 3 exons. Lineage: Eukaryota; Viridiplantae; Streptophyta; Magnoliopsida; Cucurbitales; Cucurbitaceae.